RNAcentral lists this ribosomal RNA (469 nucleotides) under uncultured bacterium. RNAcentral describes it as "bacterial SSU rRNA". It matches the Rfam family "Bacterial small subunit ribosomal RNA", at positions 791 to 1260 of the family's 1533-position model. The record is from RNAcentral.
UAGUCCACGCCGUAAACGAUGGAUACUAGCUGUCCGGGGCUUUAAGUUCUGGGCGGCCAAGCGAAAGUGAUAAGUAUCCCACCUGGGGAGUACGUUCGCAAGAAUGAAACUCAAAGGAAUUGACGGGGCCCGCACAAGCGGUGGAGCAUGUGGUUUAAUUCGAUGAUACGCGAGGAACCUUACCAGGGCCUUAAAUGCAUUAUGACAGGUCUAGAGAUAGACUUUCCUUCGGGCAUUUUGCAAGGUGCUGCAUGGUUGUCGUCAGCUCGUGCCGUGAGGUGUCAGAUUAAGUCCUAUAACGAGCGCAACCCCUGUCGUUAGUUGCCAGCGAGUCAUGUCGGGGACUCUAACGAGACUGCCGGUGCAAACCGUGAGGAAGGUGGGGAUGACGUCAAAUCAUCACGGCCCUUACGUCCUGGGGCCACACACGUGCUACAAUGGUCGGUACAGAGGGGUUGCGAAGCCGCGA